This 1566-nucleotide long non-coding RNA is filed under the name Lathyrus oleraceus (garden pea). RNAcentral's name for it is "Pisum sativum (pea) long non-coding RNA (PSAT_LNC000933)". The record is from RNAcentral. Lineage: Eukaryota; Viridiplantae; Streptophyta; Magnoliopsida; Fabales; Fabaceae.
UCUAUGAAAAAAGUUUUAUAUCCUUAAAUUAUUUUUUUUGGUUUAUACUAAUUCUCUUUUAGCCCUUUUAAUCACCAAGAUGAAUUGACACCCUCUUAUCUUAUUGUGGAACAAGUGUAACAAAUGUGACAUAUAAAGCCGCACAUAUCUUUAUUUAGUAGAAUCCACUGGAAUUAAAAACACAAGACUCAGAACAACUCUUUAAUACUACUUCAUUCACCGGUAUUGGCUUGCUAAUUCACCCUCCUUCACAAUGUAGUUCUGUUGAGGAAAGUCUUCCCCCUUGAAGUGCCUCUCAAGCAUAUCUUUAACUCCAGCAGCAUAGCGUAACUGAACAAGUUUCAAUCAUCAAAAUCAUCAGUAGUUCACAAAAAAAUGUACUUAAAAAUAUAGCCAAAGUAAAAGGCUAUGCUAAUGUCUAGAGAAUGUAGUCUUUCAUUUUUAACAUUUUUUGUUUCGAUGUAUUCUUGCAUGUUCUAAAACAUUAACAGUUUUCUGGAUUCAAGCAUCCACGCAGUCAUCACAUUAGUAGUCCUUGGAUCGAGACCAAAAGGUCCUUGUAGACAAUUCAAUGUCUAAUCGCAACCCAACGACCAUAUAUAUACUCACUGUGUAUAUAUACUCACUGUGUGGAAUUGCUAACCGCAGGCAAUACAAAUUCGGCAAUACAAAUUCGUCUAUGACAUGCUUGCAUUUCUCCUUGUAGAUGAGGCAACUUGUGUCUCAAGUAAUGUUUAGGAACAUGUUACACUAAAUUGAGAAAAAUAAUAAUUUAACGGACCACCUUAAAACUAGAAAUUAAGAUAAAGGACUAAAGUGAAGUAGUUUUGUCAAAACUAAACUACCUGUGCAUCUAUGGUGGUUCCAGAAAUAUGAGGAGUCAUGGCAUGGUUUGGCAUGUAGCGCCAUGGAUGAUCUUUUGGAGCUGGUUGAGGGAACCAAACAUCACCACUGUAACCUAUAAGAUGAAACUCAGCUGUUACAUUACUUCAAACAUAGUUCAAAUGAAAUUCAAGUGUUACAUUUUAGGAUUAUGUUUUGUUUGGAAAUACUAUAUUUGCCAGCUGGUUUUAGAAUUACCUCCAAUGUGUCCACUAGAGCAAGCAUCAGCAACUGCUUGUGUGUCCAUAAUUGCCCCGCGAGCAUUGUUAACAAUCAAGACACCUUUCUUCAACUUAGCAAUUCUAUUUUUGUCAAACAAUCCUCUGAAUCACAAACAUAACACAACAGAAACUUCAGUCACCAGUGGGUGUAAACUCAACAGAAGCACUUAAACACAAGUUGUGAUUUGUAACUCUGAACUUGAAUGAUAGAAUGACAUUGCAGCCACUCUAGGUGGAGACCUAGGCACCAUUGGCCAAACACCGUGAACAAAAUUCGUGUGUUCCCUAUUUCAAUUUUACAUUUGUUUACUUUUGAGCCAGGAUUGUUGUUUAAACAGCCACCACACCAUGUUUCACCAAUAAAUCACAAUGCAUGGAAUAUACUGGAGUAGCUAUGAAUUUCUCUUAUACUACUGAUUUCAAGUGUCCAAAAUUACUUCAACAAAAAGGUAUUAGUAUUAAA